ACUAAGCGUACACGGUGGAUGCCCUGGCAGUCAGAGGCGAUGAAGGACGUGCUAAUCUGCGAUAAGCGCCGGUAAGGUGAUAUGAACCGUUAUAACCGGCGAUUUCCGAAUGGGGAAACCCAGUGUGAUUCGUCACACUAUCAUUAACUGAAUCCAUAGGUUAAUGAGGCGAACCGGGGGAACUGAAACAUCUAAGUACCCCGAGGAAAAGAAAUCAACCGAGAUUCCCCCAGUAGCGGCGAGCGAACGGGGAGGAGCCCAGAGCCUGAAUCAGCAUGUGUGUUAGUGGAAGCGUCUGGAAAGGCGCGCGAUACAGGGUGACAGCCCCGUACACAAAAGCGCAUGUGCUGUGAGCUCGAUGAGUAGGGCGGGACACGUGGUAUCCUGUCUGAAUAUGGGGGGACCAUCCUCCAAGGCUAAAUACUCCUGACUGACCGAUAGUGAACCAGUACCGUGAGGGAAAGGCGAAAAGAACCCCGGCGAGGGGAGUGAAAAAGAACCUGAAACCGUGUACGUACAAGCAGUGGGAGCACAGGUUUACCUGUGUGACUGCGUACCUUUUGUAUAAUGGGUCAGCGACUUAUAUUCUGUAGCAAGGUUAACCGAAUAGGGGAGCCGGAGGGAAACCGAGUCUUAAUUGGGCGUUAAGUUGCAGGGUAUAGACCCGAAACCCGGUGAUCUAGCCAUGGGCAGGUUGAAGGUUGGGUAACACUAACUGGAGGACCGAACCGACUAAUGUUGAAAAAUUAGCGGAUGACCUGUGGCUGGGGGUGAAAGGCCAAUCAAACCGGGAGAUAGCUGGUUCUCCCCGAAAGCUAUUUAGGUAGCGCCUCGUGAAUUCAUCUCCGGGGGUAGAGCACUGUUUCGGCUAGGGGGCCAUCCCGGCUUACCAACCCGAUGCAAACUGCGAAUACCGGAGAAUGUUAUCACGGGAGACACACGGCGGGUGCUAACGUCCGUCGUGAAGAGGGAAACAACCCAGACCGCCAGCUAAGGUCCCAAAGUCAUGGUUAAGUGGGAAACGAUGUGGGAAGGCCCAGACAGCCAGGAUGUUGGCUUAGAAGCAGCCAUCAUUUAAAGAAAGCGUAAUAGCUCACUGGUCGAGUCGGCCUGCGCGGAAGAUGUAACGGGGCUAAACCAUGCACCGAAGCUGCGGCAGCGAACGUAUCACCCAAGACAACUUUGCGGAGUUGACGAUUGACGGAGCGAAGCGACGUCAAAGCGUAUUCAAAGUCGAGUUGGCUUAGGGAUACGUUCGUUGGGUAGGGGAGCGUUCUGUAAGCCUGUGAAGGUGGCCUGUGAGGGUUGCUGGAGGUAUCAGAAGUGCGAAUGCUGACAUAAGUAACGAUAAAGCGGGUGAAAAGCCCGCUCGCCGGAAGACCAAGGGUUCCUGUCCAACGUUAAUCGGGGCAGGGUGAGUCGACCCCUAAGGCGAGGCCGAAAGGCGUAGUCGAUGGGAAACGGGUUAAUAUUCCCGUACUUGGUGUUACUGCGAAGGGGGGACGGAGAAGGCUAUGUUGGCCGGGCGACGGUUGUCCCGGUUUAAGCGUGUAGGUGUGUGUUCCAGGUAAAUCCGGUUCACUUUAACACUGAGGCGUGACGACGAGGCACUACGGUGCUGAAGCAACAAAUGCCCUGCUUCCAGGAAAAGCCUCUAAGCAUCAGGUAACAUCAAAUCGUACCCCAAACCGACACAGGUGGUCAGGUAGAGAAUACCAAGGCGCUUGAGAGAACUCGGGUGAAGGAACUAGGCAAAAUGGUGCCGUAACUUCGGGAGAAGGCACGCUGACACGUAGGUGAAGUGAUUUACUCAUGGAGCUGAAGUCAGUCGAAGAUACCAGCUGGCUGCAACUGUUUAUUAAAAACACAGCACUGUGCAAACACGAAAGUGGACGUAUACGGUGUGACGCCUGCCCGGUGCCGGAAGGUUAAUUGAUGGGGUCAGCGCAAGCGAAGCUCCUGAUCGAAGCCCCGGUAAACGGCGGCCGUAACUAUAACGGUCCUAAGGUAGCGAAAUUCCUUGUCGGGUAAGUUCCGACCUGCACGAAUGGCGUAAUGAUGGCCAGGCUGUCUCCACCCGAGACUCAGUGAAAUUGAACUCGCUGUGAAGAUGCAGUGUACCCGCGGCAAGACGGAAAGACCCCGUGAACCUUUACUAUAGCUUGACACUGAACAUUGAGCCUUGAUGUGUAGGAUAGGUGGGAGGCUUUGAAGUGUGGACGCCAGUCUGCGUGGAGCCGACCUUGAAAUACCACCCUUUAAUGUUUGAUGUUCUAACGUGGACCCGUAAUCCGGGUUGCGGACAGUGUCUGGUGGGUAGUUUGACUGGGGCGGUCUCCUCCUAAAGAGUAACGGAGGAGCACGAAGGUUGGCUAAUCCUGGUCGGACAUCAGGAGGUUAGUGCAAUGGCAUAAGCCAGCUUGACUGCGAGCGUGACGGCGCGAGCAGGUGCGAAAGCAGGUCAUAGUGAUCCGGUGGUUCUGAAUGGAAGGGCCAUCGCUCAACGGAUAAAAGGUACUCCGGGGAUAACAGGCUGAUACCGCCCAAGAGUUCAUAUCGACGGCGGUGUUUGGCACCUCGAUGUCGGCUCAUCACAUCCUGGGGCUGAAGUAGGUCCCAAGGGUAUGGCUGUUCGCCAUUUAAAGUGGUACGCGAGCUGGGUUUAGAACGUCGUGAGACAGUUCGGUCCCUAUCUGCCGUGGGCGCUGGAGAACUGAGGGGGGCUGCUCCUAGUACGAGAGGACCGGAGUGGACGCAUCACUGGUGUUCGGGUUGUCAUGCCAAUGGCACUGCCCGGUAGCUAAAUGCGGAAGAGAUAAGUGCUGAAAGCAUCUAAGCACGAAACUUGCCCCGAGAUGAGUUCUCCCUGAGACUUUAGGUCUCCUGAAGGAACGUUGAAGACGACGACGUUGAUAGGCCGGGUGUGUAAGCGCAGCGAUGCGUUGAGCUAACCGGUACUAAUGAACCGUGAGGCUUAACC
RNAcentral lists this ribosomal RNA (2980 nucleotides) under Salmonella enterica. RNAcentral describes it as "bacterial LSU rRNA". It matches the Rfam family "Bacterial large subunit ribosomal RNA". The record is from RNAcentral. Lineage: Bacteria; Pseudomonadati; Pseudomonadota; Gammaproteobacteria; Enterobacterales; Enterobacteriaceae.